This 492-nucleotide ribosomal RNA is filed under the name uncultured bacterium. RNAcentral describes it as "partial 16S ribosomal RNA". It matches the Rfam family "Bacterial small subunit ribosomal RNA", at positions 29 to 507 of the family's 1533-position model. The record is from RNAcentral.
AGUGAACGCUGGCGGUAGGCCUAACACAUGCAAGUCGAACGGCAGCACAGUAAGAGCUUGCUCUUACGGGUGGCGAGUGGCGGACGGGUGAGGAAUACAUCGUAAUCUACUUUUUCGUGGGGGAUAACGUAGGGAAACUUACGCUAAUACCGCAUACGCCCUACGGGUGAAAGCAGGGGAUCUUCGGACCUUGCGCGAUUGAAUGAGCCGAUGUCGGACUGGCUAGUUGGCGGGGUAAAGGCCCACCAAGGCGGCGAUACGUAGCUGGUCUGAGAGGAUGGUCAGCCACACUGGAACGGGAACACGCUCCAUACUCCUACGGGAGGCAGCAGUGGGGAAUAUGGGACAAUGGGCGCAAGCCUGAUCCAGCCAUACCGCGUGGGUGAAGAAGGCCUUCGGGUUGUAAAGCCCUUUUGUUGGGAAAGAAAAGCAGCAGGUUAAUACCCCGCUGUUCUGACGGUACCCAAAGAAUAAGCACCGGCUAACUUCGUG